RNAcentral lists this transfer RNA (100 nucleotides) under Lasius niger. It matches the Rfam family "tRNA". From Rfam's summary of the family: Transfer RNA (tRNA) molecules are approximately 80 nucleotides in length. Their secondary structure includes four short double-helical elements and three loops (D, anti-codon, and T loops). Further hydrogen bonds mediate the characteristic L-shaped molecular structure. tRNAs have two regions of fundamental functional importance: the anti-codon, which is responsible for specific mRNA codon recognition, and the 3' end, to which the tRNAs corresponding amino acid is attached (by aminoacyl-tRNA synthetases). tRNAs cope with the degeneracy of the genetic code in two manners: having more than one tRNA (with a specific anti-codon) for a particular amino acid; and 'wobble' base-pairing, i.e. permitting non-standard base-pairing at the 3rd anti-codon position. Lineage: Eukaryota; Metazoa; Arthropoda; Insecta; Hymenoptera; Formicidae. The record is from Rfam by way of RNAcentral.
CCUUCGAUAGCUCAGUUGGUAGAGCGGUGGACUGUAGAGGUUUUAGAGCUUCAUUAAGGUAGAUAUCCAUAGGUCGCUGGUUCAAAUCCGGCUCGAAGGA